RNAcentral lists this small RNA (126 nucleotides) under Marmota monax (woodchuck). The record is from RNAcentral. Lineage: Eukaryota; Metazoa; Chordata; Mammalia; Rodentia; Sciuridae.
GCCGGGUGUGGUGGUGCAUGCCUAUAAUCCAGCUGCUGGGGAGGCUGAGGCAGGAGGAUUGUGAGUUCAAGGCCAGCCUCAGCAACCUAGCAAGACCCUAAGCAACUUAGCGAGACUCUGUCUCUA